Molecule: ribosomal RNA, 484 nt
Filed under: uncultured bacterium
Lineage: Bacteria
Description: bacterial SSU rRNA
Rfam family: Bacterial small subunit ribosomal RNA
Source: RNAcentral
GAUGAGCGCUAGCGGCAGGCCUAACACAUGCAAGUCGAGGGGCAGCACAGGUAGCAAUACUGGGUGGCGACCGGCGGAUGGGUGCGUAACGCGUAUGCAACCUACCAUUGAUUGGGGCAUAGCCCGAAGAAAUUCGGAUUAAUACUCCAUAAUAUUCAUCAAAGGCAUCUUUUAUGAAUUAAAGCUUUUGCGAUCAAUGAUGGGCAUGCGUGACAUUAGUUAGUUGGUGAGGUAACGGCUCACCAAAACGAUGAUGUCUAGGGGUUCUGAGAGGAUUAUCCCCCCACACUGGUACUGAGACACGGACCAGACUCCUACGGGAGGCAGCAGUGAGGAAUAUUGGUCAAUGGGCGCAAGCCUGAACCAGCCAUCCCGCGUGCAGGAAGACGGCCCUAUGGGUUGUAAACUGCUUUUCCAGGGAGAGAAACUUACGCACGUGUUGCGUGACUGACGGUACCCUGGGAAUAAGCAUCGGCUAACUCCG